Molecule: ribosomal RNA, 1561 nt
Filed under: Salmonella enterica subsp. enterica serovar Derby
Lineage: Bacteria; Pseudomonadati; Pseudomonadota; Gammaproteobacteria; Enterobacterales; Enterobacteriaceae
Description: partial 23S ribosomal RNA
Rfam family: Bacterial large subunit ribosomal RNA
Source: RNAcentral
CUGCGUACCUUUUGUAUAAUGGGUCAGCGACUUAUAUUCUGUAGCAAGGUUAACCGUAUAGGGGAGCCGGAGGGAAACCGAGUCUUAAUUGGGCGUUAAGUUGCAGGGUAUAGACCCGAAACCCGGUGAUCUAGCCAUGGGCAGGUUGAAGGUUGGGUAACACUAACUGGAGGACCGAACCGACUAAUGUUGAAAAAUUAGCGGAUGACCUGUGGCUGGGGGUGAAAGGCCAAUCAAACCGGGAGAUAGCUGGUUCUCCCCGAAAGCUAUUUAGGUAGCGCCUCGUGAAUUCAUCUCCGGGGGUAGAGCACUGUUUCGGCUAGGGGGCCAUCCCGGCUUACCAACCCGAUGCAAACUGCGAAUACCGGAGAAUGUUAUCACGGGAGACACACGGCGGGUGCUAACGUCCGUCGUGAAGAGGGAAACAACCCAGACCGCCAGCUAAGGUCCCAAAGUCAUGGUUAAGUGGGAAACGAUGUGGGAAGGCCCAGACAGCCAGGAUGUUGGCUUAGAAGCAGCCAUCAUUUAAAGAAAGCGUAAUAGCUCACUGGUCGAGUCGGCCUGCGCGGAAGAUGUAACGGGGCUAAACCAUGCACCGAAGCUGCGGCAGCGACACUCAGGUGUUGUUGGGUAGGGGAGCGUUCUGUAAGCCUGUGAAGGUGGCCUGUGAGGGUUGCUGGAGGUAUCAGAAGUGCGAAUGCUGACAUAAGUAACGAUAAAGCGGGUGAAAAGCCCGCUCGCCGGAAGACCAAGGGUUCCUGUCCAACGUUAAUCGGGGCAGGGUGAGUCGACCCCUAAGGCGAGGCCGAAAGGCGUAGUCGAUGGGAAACGGGUUAAUAUUCCCGUACUUGGUGUUACUGCGAAGGGGGGACGGAGAAGGCUAUGUUGGCCGGGCGACGGUUGUCCCGGUUUAAGCGUGUAGGUGUGUGUUCCAGGUAAAUCCGGUUCACUUUAACACUGAGGCGUGAUGACGAGGCACUACGGUGCUGAAGCAACAAAUGCCCUGCUUCCAGGAAAAGCCUCUAAGCAUCAGGUAACAUCAAAUCGUACCCCAAACCGACACAGGUGGUCAGGUAGAGAAUACCAAGGCGCUUGAGAGAACUCGGGUGAAGGAACUAGGCAAAAUGGUGCCGUAACUUCGGGAGAAGGCACGCUGACAUGUAGGUGAAGUGAUUUACUCAUGGAGCUGAAGUCAGUCGAAGAUACCAGCUGGCUGCAACUGUUUAUUAAAAACACAGCACUGUGCAAACACGAAAGUGGACGUAUACGGUGUGACGCCUGCCCGGUGCCGGAAGGUUAAUUGAUGGGGUCAGCGCAAGCGAAGCUCCUGAUCGAAGCCCCGGUAAACGGCGGCCGUAACUAUAACGGUCCUAAGGUAGCGAAAUUCCUUGUCGGGUAAGUUCCGACCUGCACGAAUGGCGUAAUGAUGGCCAGGCUGUCUCCACCCGAGACUCAGUGAAAUUGAACUCGCUGUGAAGAUGCAGUGUACCCGCGGCAAGACGGAAAGACCCCGUGAACCUUUACUAUAGCUUGACACUGAACAUUGAGCCUUGAUGUGUAG